GGUGACUGGGUUCAAAGACAGCACUGCAAAUGCUUCUCAGCUUCCAGCAGCUGAGGUCUGUAAAUACAAAUUCCAUUUUCUGGACACAGACUGCUUUGAGCUUUUCCUCCAGCACUGCCAUCUCAUCUCAUUAUUCUGUCCUGGAGCCUCCUUGCUCUCUGGGGGAGAGCUGCAAACUUCCCCUCCUCAGACCUUCCAGAGGAGGCUCAGAGGUCUCUUCUUGUGCCCUAAAUCUCUGCUCAUCCCAAAGCAAUAGGAUUAGGUUGUAGCUGUUGGCAUGGCAUUGGCUUUCACUGUGGACAGAGAGAAUUUCAGUUUACUGGGAUGGAAAUGACUGUGGAAGUUCCCUGCUUUUAUGCUGGGAACUGAUCCAAAGCUCACUGAAUCACAAAGAAAGAAUCCCAUCCAUGUCAGUGGAGUUUGCAUCAAUCCUGAAAUGUCAACAGAUGACCACUAAGUUACAGGGCUGCAAAAAUUCUAGCCUACAUCCAUCCUGGUCAUGGAAGGAGACAACUGAUGGUUGCUCCAGGGCUCCCGGAUGACAGCUGCCUUGACAAUGGCUAGAUGAGCAAGCAAGGAUACCAGAAGUGAAGCUGUGUGCAUCUCUUGCCUCUGUAAGGGAAAAAGGAACUCUUGGUCACAUCCCAACCAUGGAAAUAUCUCAAUAUUUUCAGUGCAUGAGAGAUAGAUACAAUAACAAAUAGCACAGUGAUUUUUACACCUAUGCUACAUAAUCAUUUAGCCACUUCUUCAGUUGCACAACAGAACUUUGCACUCUUUUGGAGUUUCAUUCUGCAGAGUGAAGAACAAGAGCAGUAGCUUUCAAUUAUUUUACAGGCACUGCAAUGUGGCAGCAAUGGAUUGCAGACAAUCAUGAGCUGAGUUUGAAACAGGCAGCUCUAGCACUUACAACAGGAUAAAGUGGCACAGGGAGCUCAGCACUUUAAUGCCAAGUAGGUUGUAUUUUGCCUCCCAAGCAACAUGGUCACAUGUGGAACUCCACAUAACCAUGGCUUCAAGCAUCCAGCUUUGCUAGCUUAUAUACCACUUUGCUGCAAUGAAGAGAUAUGGAAGCUACAAAGGAGGCCUAGCAAGGAGCAUUUCAUAUGCAGGCUUGAGGAUACUUAAAUAGAGUUGACUUCAAAUUGUUCUUUUGGGGAAAAAAAAAGACAACUAAAUCAGGAGAAAACAGGAUGUAUCUGAAUUGUUCUAACAAAUUCUUAAUGAUAAUUGAAAAUAUUUUAAGUUGAAACAACUCCUUUUCCUCUCCUGCUCCUUCAAGCUCUCUAAGGCUGUGUUUAGAAAACACUGAAGUCAAACUGACCACUUGGUAAAUGGGGGGUUCUGAAAUUAGUGAGGCUGAACCUCAGCUGAAGUUGUCUAAGCCAUUGGUUGCUGGCUUUGAAUUCGUUCUCAUAAAGUUGCUCACAGCAGCGACACAUUUGGAAAUGCAGAGAUGACUUAAGAAAAGGGUUAUAAAAGACUUUACUAAUGAAUGUGUGUCACAACUGCUUUGGCUCUUGUUCCCAUAGCAUACUUCCAACAAAAUCAAAUGUAGAUUCCUAAGGGCAUAAGUUGGAAGUCAUCCUGCCUCAAAGAGCUUGGACCUCUCUCUUAAGUAGGACAGAACUCUGCUGAGACCUCACGGAAGUAUUGACUGCAAAUGACUGUGGGCAACAAUUUCAAAGAACCUUCAGAGAUUUACUUGUAUAGUUAUUGUCUCUUAAGAGAGAGAGAGAGAGUUAAUAGGUACAGUUGCUUUAUUCAUGAAUCUCAGAAUUAAUUUUAAUCCAGCAUUCUAAUAAGUGUUCAAGGCAUUUUACUUCAUCGUUUUCAGGUCUUGUCCCCUAGACAAAAAGGUCUAUUUUUAACUUGUACCACUUCAAUCAAGUUACAACCUGAAAUUAGUAAUACAACUCAACCUACUAACUGGUGCAUGGAAUAGUUAAACAGAGGUCACAGUAAAUGCCAGCAGCACUUUCUGUAAAACAAAUACACAACAAGCAAAGACAUGACCAGUCAGUAAAUAAAGGUGAGUUGAAAUCAACUUUGUUGGAAAGGAAAAGUGUUAUAAUGAAAUUACAGUGCUUUGGAAGACUUAAAGUGAUGUCCACCAUAAAAGAUAAAAUUAAUUUACUGGAAAUAAACUUGUGAAUAUGAGUACCAUUUUGUGAAAGGCCAAGUUCUGACAUUUAGUAAAGCUGUAAAAAUGUUUUUGAAAGCAGCCCUUCAUUGUGAUUAUCACUGUUCUUAUGCAUUAAAAUUGAAAGAACUAAGAAAGACCAAAAAGGACUGAAAGAGUAAAAUAUUUUGCAAUUUCAAAGUAUUUGAUACAUUGAAGCUUUAAGAUGUUUUAAUACUCCUUGCUCUGCAAACAUGCUUCAGUUUGUUAAUAAAGAAAUGUUCUGAUACAAAGCAUCCACGAGGAUUAACAUGCAAAUAAAAUGCAUAUGACAAAU
Long non-coding RNA from Gallus gallus (chicken), 2459 nucleotides. NCBI's taxonomy places the organism in Eukaryota, Metazoa, Chordata, Aves, Galliformes, Phasianidae. The record is from Ensembl.